UGUUUUUUCUGUCUUUUACGUUGUUGUUUUCUGUUUUUUCUGAAUCAAAUGUUUACUCGAAGGAAAAAUAUAAAUUUCGAAGGUGUUGAGCUCCUAAAUUGACUCUGCCUAUUGCCCAUCGACACCUGCUGACUGUCUGUUGUCGCCUUGGACGAAGCGGAAAAUUCUUUAGUCAAAUCGUCAAAAGCUUCGACUGGAAAAUCAGCUUAAAUGUCUAAAAAUACCGAAAAUUACUCGCAAAUGGGUGCUAGAAGAGAAAUCAGCGUAAUUUUCCGACCACCUCUUGUUCCACCGGGCGUCUGAUAGUUGAACUGAGACCCAGUGAUUAGGCAAAAAAAGUUCCGUAGAUUUGUGCGGCUUCAAACGCACACAUGUAUAUGUGUAUAUGUACAUAUAUGACAGCUUAUUGGUACAUAUGUAUGUGUGACUGUUUCGGAAAAGUUUGGCAACUUCUAAAGUACAUCUAAAUCUCGCAGCGAAAGGUGCCAACAUUAUCAAAAUGUGAUUGCGUAAACGACCAGAAACAAAUACAGCAAACAGACGUACACAACAAUAACAACAACAAUACACACACAAUUCAGCCAGUGUGGGCCAGUGCCGGCGCUGAGGGUUGAAAAGCCAUUGGGUAUUUGAUUUGUUUUGUUCAAUGUUCUUCAGAUAAAAGUAAGAAGUUUAUAUCUUCCACGGCAUAACGGCAUAUCGGCUCUUAGUCACUGUCAGCAGCAAAUCUUCAAUUUUAUAUAAGACAACACAAUAAAUUUCGGCGGAAAAAGUAUGUUUGUAUGUAUGUAUGUAAAUAUAUAGUAAGUACACAAGUACGAAGUUAUGUAUUAGAAUGAAUG
RNAcentral lists this long non-coding RNA (842 nucleotides) under Ceratitis capitata (Mediterranean fruit fly). RNAcentral's name for it is "uncharacterized LOC105664973, transcript variant X2". Lineage: Eukaryota; Metazoa; Arthropoda; Insecta; Diptera; Tephritidae. The record is from RNAcentral.